AAUGUUAAUAUAAUUUGAAGAGACGGAGUAUUACGGCAAGGAUAUUUUUGAAAGAAAAUAUGUAUUUAGAAGGAUAAUUAUGCUAUAACAAAAUUUAUAGGAAUAUUUAUAAUAUUUUUGAAAUUUAGAGGGGUACGGAUGAAAUUAACCUUUUAAACAAAGAAUGAACAAAUUAAGGAUAAAAUGAUAAUUUUGUAUUUUGAAAUAAAAUAAAAAAAAUGCUAAGUUGAGGGAAGUUAGCAAAAAUUAACCAUAAGGAUAUUUAUGAAAAGAAAUAUUGUAUUUAGAGGGAUAUUUAUGAAAUUUUAAAGAUUCAAAGUAUAUUUAUAAUAUUUUAUAAUUUUGUGAGGUUA
This 353-nucleotide long non-coding RNA is filed under the name Ananas comosus (pineapple). Its description in RNAcentral is "long non-coding RNA (ACOM_LNC013087)". Lineage: Eukaryota; Viridiplantae; Streptophyta; Magnoliopsida; Poales; Bromeliaceae. The record is from RNAcentral.